GACCUGGGACACCAGAAUUCUUCCCCUUUAAUUAGGGACAGGUUUAGACCUGGGACACCAGCAGUCUUCCCCUUUAAUUAGGGACUGGUUUAGACCUGGGACACCAGCAUUCUUCCCCUUUAAUUUGGGACUGGUUUAGACCUGGGACACCAGCAGUCUUCCCCUUUAAUUAGGGACUGGUUUAGACCUGGGACACCAGCAUUCUUCCCCUUUAAUUAGGGACUGGUUUAGACCUGGGACACCAGCAGUCUUCCCCUUUAAUUAGGGACUGGUUUAGACCUGGGACACCAGCAUUCUUCCCCUUUAAUUAGGGACUGGUUUAGACCUGGGACACCAGCAGUCUUCCCCUUUAAUUAGGGACUGGUUUAGACCUGGGACACCAGC
Molecule: long non-coding RNA, 384 nt
Organism: Oncorhynchus keta (chum salmon)
Lineage: Eukaryota; Metazoa; Chordata; Actinopteri; Salmoniformes; Salmonidae
Exons: 4
Source: RefSeq, a predicted model, not a curated record